RNAcentral lists this ribosomal RNA (253 nucleotides) under uncultured bacterium. RNAcentral describes it as "partial 16S ribosomal RNA". It matches the Rfam family "Bacterial small subunit ribosomal RNA", at positions 524 to 776 of the family's 1533-position model. The record is from RNAcentral.
UACGUAGGGCGCAAGCGUUGUCCGGAAUCAUUGGGCGUAAAGAGCUCGUAGGCGGCCUGUCGCGUCUGCUGUGAAAUCCCCGGGCUUAACCUGGGAAUGGCAUUUGGGACUGCAAGGCUGGAGUGUGGCAGAGGAGACUGGAAUUCCUGGUGUAGCAGUGAAAUGCGUAGAUAUCAGGAGGAAUACCGAUGGCGAAGGCAGGUCUCUGGGCUGACACUGACGCUCAUGCACGAAAGCGUGGGGAGCAAACAGG